CGGGGUGAUGAUGCCGAGAUAGGAAGUGCCGUCAGAUGCGAGAACUGACGAGACGCUCAUCUCCGUCUGACC
Anolis carolinensis (green anole) is the source of this 72-nucleotide small nucleolar RNA. NCBI's taxonomy places the organism in Eukaryota, Metazoa, Chordata, Lepidosauria, Squamata, Anolidae. The record is from Ensembl.